UACGUAGGGGGCAAGCGUUGUCCGGAUUUAUUGGGCGUAAAGAGCGUGUAGGCGGCCAGGUAGGUCCGUUGUGAAAACUCGAGGCUCAACCUCGAGACGCCGAUGGAAACCCCCUGGCUAGAGUCCGGAAGAGGAGAAUGGAAUUCCUGGUGUAGCGGUGAAAUUCGUAGAUAUUAGGAAGAACACCAGUGGCGAAGGCGGCUCACUGGUCCGGUACUGACGCUGAGGUGCGAAAGCGUGGGGAGCAAACAGG
This 253-nucleotide ribosomal RNA is filed under the name uncultured bacterium. RNAcentral describes it as "partial 16S ribosomal RNA". It matches the Rfam family "Bacterial small subunit ribosomal RNA", at positions 524 to 776 of the family's 1533-position model. The record is from RNAcentral.